Molecule: long non-coding RNA, 1547 nt
Organism: Mustela lutreola (European mink)
Lineage: Eukaryota; Metazoa; Chordata; Mammalia; Carnivora; Mustelidae
Exons: 6
Source: RefSeq, a predicted model, not a curated record
UGGCUCCGGAGGGUGGAGAUGGGGGUUAAUCUUUAGUCCCGAGACCUCACGCAGGGUCCCCGGAGAGUAACUGGCCUCCGGGAAAGAGGCAGGGGGCCGAGAUGCCAGGGAGGGCAAGGACCCGAGAGGCGGCCGAACUGACUUGAGGGCUAGCAGUGAAGAACUGCCCGCCGGCACCAAUCUGCUAACUAGUGAGGAGUGACCGAGUCUUCCUGUCUUCUGCAUCCUGGGAGGCCCGGUCCCUCUCCGCACCUCCGGACUUCCCGCUCGCCAGUGGCCUGGGGCUUGCCGGCGCGGGGCUGGGCGUGCGUGUGUUGCUGUGCGCGCGCGCAGGGGUCUGUGUGUGUGUGUGUGUGUGCGCAGCCCACGAGCCGAGCCCGGCCGCCGGGACCCAGCCGCCCGCUGCCUGCCUGGCGUCCCUCCUCCCGGCAGCCGCCUCCUCGCAGCCUUCUCACCUGGCGCUGCCGCCGGCCGCCCGCCCAGCCCUGCUUCCGCCGCCACUGCCUCCCCUCAAAGUUUCCUCAGAACAGACACCUUCGCCAAAGGCUGCCCAGGGAGAUGGAUUUCUGAAGCUGUGCUUUGGAGUGGCUCUUCUUCCAGCACCUCUUAGCCUUGUCCCCACCUAAAUCCGAGCAGAAGGUAGAAGAUUUUCCAAAACCACGGGAGGAAAGGGGGAGGGGUUUUUUAUCAAGAGGAAGAGAGGAGCGGCUACAACUGAGAAUAGGAUCUUCUUCCCUGCCUGAUGCCGGCAGCGGACUGACUGAUGGGCCUGUAGGGUUAAAGAAGAAAAUUAAAUAAAAUUAAAAAUUAAAUAGAAAAAAAGAAAAUAGAAAGCCAAGUUGACCGAGCAGGGGCUGGGAGGCUUCGGGAUGCCGGGAAGGUUGUCCCCGUCUCCGUUUCCACGGGCGUGAAGAUUUAGAGGUGCCUCCAGUGCGAGGGCUUUUAAACCGCCAUCACCCCCUGAUCCCUUUGGAAGGAAAAGCCGGUGCGGAGCUGAGGCAGGGGGGUGUCGAGGAAAAGCCUGGACUUGUGUGCAACGCGUACUUGGCUUCGGAUUUUAAGCACAUGAACGAGAACAGCGUCUCAAGGGAAUCUGUUGGAGAUGGUUUCAAGAUGUAGAAGUCUCAUAUGUGAAGUAUCCCAAAUGAAUUUGGAAAAUCCAUGCUGAAAUCGCUUCAUGUUCUGAAAUUGAAGAGUACCACAGGAAAGCUGUGUCCCUGUAUCAUGUGCUGUUUGGGCUUCUGAAGUGUCCGGCAGAUUUUUAAUCAUAUGAGCCUCAAAACGGAGUCAUGUAAAGAGGCUCAGAGACGAACACGAAAAGUGGCCACCAUCAGCAUGAGGAGCCCAGCAAGUCAGCCUGGUGAGAUGAGAAAAACAAAAUGCAGCUUUCAAGGUUCACUUCAAGCAGUUGGCGUGUGGGACUCUGAGAGAUGCUGCUGCCCGUGACAUGUUGGGAUUACCAUGAUCAACGACCCAGUUUGGAUUUCACCCAGUGGCCAGGAGCUUUGCAUGGUGGACAGCAAGGGUUGGAUUUUUAAAAAGAGUAA